RNAcentral lists this long non-coding RNA (636 nucleotides) under Mustela putorius furo (domestic ferret). Its description in RNAcentral is "lncRNA (ENSMPUG00000028575.1)". Lineage: Eukaryota; Metazoa; Chordata; Mammalia; Carnivora; Mustelidae. The record is from RNAcentral.
GGGAAGCAGGAGCGAGCCCAGGCAGGGGAACGCCCCACGUCCCCCCCCUCCGGCCUCUGGCUGGUGGGCUGUGUGCCGCUGUGCUCGGAAGGGGAAGAUGCACAGAGUGGCCAUGGGGCAGCCAGGCGGCGAGGAGCCCAUCCGCGGGGAGAGACCUGGGUAGAAGGAAGGAGGUGGAACAAGGGACGGAGAGAAUGCUGGUUGUACCUCCGAACCUUGCCAACCCCAUGUUUGAGGGCAACAUCCUGAGUCUGCAGUGCCACGAUGGAGGAAUGGAGCUCUGUCCCUGGCCACGUUCUACAAAGACGGGAAAUCACUCCAUGACCCAAAGGCCAAACAGGUUCUGCCCAUGGGGACAGCGACACUGCAAAGCAACGGCCAGUACAGCUGCACUGGGAAGGCAAGCUUCCUCCCGCACCCAGGCACACAAAGGUCAGAGACGACCACGUUUCAAGUCACCAGCUUCCAGGGGUCGGGGGAGUGGGGGCUGGGGUGCUGCUCAGGGAUCUGGUCCCUAGAGGCCAGCAGCUCUCCUGCCGGCCCGGAAUGCUGGGCCAAUCACACAGCCCUGAGAUGCCCACCACGCUGUCCAAAUGCCCACCCCCAUGGGGCACAUCUGGAACCCAGGGAAGGAGG